AGUGAACGCUGGCGGUAGGCCUAACACAUGCAAGUCGAACGGCAGCACAGUAAGAGCUUGCUCUUACGGGUGGCGAGUGGCGGACGGGUGAGGAAUACAUCGGAAUCUACUUUUUCGUGGGGGAUUACGUAGGGAAACUUACGCUAAUACCUCAUACGACCUACGGGUGAAAUCAGGGGAUCUUCGGACCUUGCGCGAUUGAAUGAGCCGAUGUCGGAUUAGCUAGUUGGCGGGGUAAAGGCCCACCAAGGCGACGAUCCGUAGCUGGUCUGAGAGGAUGAUCAGCCACACUGGAACUGAGACACGGUCCAGACUCCUACGGGAGGCAGCAGUGGGGAAUAUUGGACAAUGGGCGCAAGCCUGAUCCAGCAAUGCCGCGUGAGUGAAGAAGGCCUUCGGGUUGUAAAGCCCUUUUGUUGGGAAAGAAAAGCAGCAGGUUAAUACCCCGCUGUUCUGACGGUACCCAAAGAAUAAGCACCGGCUAACUUCGUG
RNAcentral lists this ribosomal RNA (492 nucleotides) under uncultured bacterium. RNAcentral's name for it is "partial 16S ribosomal RNA". It matches the Rfam family "Bacterial small subunit ribosomal RNA", at positions 29 to 507 of the family's 1533-position model. The record is from RNAcentral.